GGCGCCGGGACUGGCCAUGCCAUCCCCCAGCUCCCCCGGUGAAGAGGCCAGGCGCCCCUCCUGACGCCCCGUCUCCGCUCCUGGGGGCCCAUCCCCUGCCCAGCGGGUGGCCGACAGUCACCUCACCCACAGCGGGCCAGGGCUGCAGGCUUCCGGAGCAUCGUGACUGCAGGGGAGUUGAUGGAGAAAACUCCCUGGGCUUUGGCUCAGUGUCCCCUGAUGCCUGCCAAGGACAAAGCCGGCCCCUGGCCUUUGAGAUCCAGAAGGACGCACUCACUCGCCCUCCUGGUCCCUGCGGUGACAUCACAGAAGUGCCUGUGACUCUUGUCCUCCAGAGCCAGCUUCAUCUCCACCUCACUUCUACCAGAACUACCCUCGGCUCCCAGACGCCCUCUCUCACCACCCCUGGAGAUGCAUUUAUUGAGCACCUGCUGUUUACCUUGUGCUCCACUCCCACUGGGCCAAAGUGUGAGCCCCCCACCAAAGGGCCUGCCACUACCCGUGCUUCCAGUCCCAGUCACUGACCCUGAGCUGGGCCCACGCUGUCUGGGUGUCCCCAUACCUCUCCUGGUCCAGGCUGCUCCCAGAACCCACGGCUGCAUCCUUGGGCUCAGGAGAUACCCAGAGGCUGGCUCAAAAAGGAGGGAAUGAGGAGUGCAGGAUAGGCAGGACAGACCUGCUCCUAAAAGAGCAGCCGAUCUGGCAAACACAGCAGACAUUCUGCUUUUGGAAAAAUUUUAUAACACAGUGGCACUUGUUCAUGGAGACUAAUAGAAACACCACACAGCCCCACAUUGCUCAGCCAGCCAGGGGGUGGCUCGCGCUGCUGGGAAACAUUUCCCAGGCGCCUACUACGUGCUGGAGGCCGGGGAGAGGAGGAGGAGGAGGAGAAAGAGGCAGGAGGACAUCCUCAGGGCACCUGGAAAGACAGCUGAGGGCCGGAGGAAGAGCCACAGAUGCAGCCCAGGCUGCUCCCGAAGCAGCAGCAUAUGCAACCUCACCACGGGGACAGCAGCAGAGGGCAGCCCAGCCCGUGCAAAGGCUCCUUAAAUCUCCAUGUCCAGGCAACCCAAUCAUGUUGCCAAAAUGUGAUUGGUGGGAAAAUGAUGUCCACACUCAGUGCACAUCUAACAAACAAGUAAAGCAGGUAACGCAAGAGUUUGGGGGUACAAAAAAUGGAAGGAAGAAGAAUGAGAC
This 1197-nucleotide long non-coding RNA is filed under the name Heterocephalus glaber (naked mole-rat). RNAcentral's name for it is "lncRNA (ENSHGLG00100042548.1)". Lineage: Eukaryota; Metazoa; Chordata; Mammalia; Rodentia; Bathyergidae. The record is from RNAcentral.